AUCUUCGCAGCAUCAUAAGCCGUGCAGCUACCUCCUUCAUAUCAGGUCGUUCCUCAAUCUUUUCUUUUAAACAAUCCAUUGCCAACCUACCAAUUUCUUCUAAGAUCAAGACAUCUUCUUCAAUUGCAAUCUCCUUAUCAAACAAUGCUCUCCCACUAUUUUCUCGAUCAUACGCCUUUUGGAACUCAAUGACAAGGCUAUAGUUCUUGUCAUAUAUUGUUGGCUUUCUGCUAAUGAGCUCCAACAACACAACUCCAAAACUAUAUACAUCACUCUUCUGUGUUAAAUGACCAGUCAUAUAGAAGAUUGGGUCUAUGUAGCCCAUGCUCCCUGCCACAACCAUGGUAAAUUCUUUGUCUGCAGUAAGAAGCUUGGAUGUUCCAAAGUCUGAGAUCUUCGCAAUGAACUUAUCAGUUAGAAGUAUGUUAGCUGGCUUAAUAUCACCGUGUCGUAUGGUAUGACUUAUGGACGAGUGCAUGUACCUUAGACCUUCUGCAGAUUGAACUGCAAUAUCUAGGCGUAGGUCUAGUGAUAGAGGAACUAGACGAUUCGCAUCACCAUGGAGAAUGUCUUUGAGACUGCCAUUAGCGGCAAACUCGUACACUAACAUUGGAACAUCCACUUCCAAGCAGCAACCCAAAAGCUUGAUAAUGUUAUUGUGCAUCAUUUGCGAUUGUAUGAUAACUUCGUUUGUGAAAUCCUCUUUUCGAGCUUCAUUUACCUCAAUGGAAGUCUUCACAGCCACCAGGGUAUCAUCUUUUAGUCUCCCUUUGUAAACCUUACCAAAUCCUCCUUCACCAAUAAUAUCAGAAUUGUUCUUUAGGAUUUUCUUAACCUCAUCUUUGGAGAAAAUCAUGAUAUUGUCCACUUUCUGUAAUACUGAACCACCAUUCUUCUUGAAAUAUUUGUUCAUUUUUCUCUUUUGAAGCAUCAUUAGUGUGAAAAGAACAACAACAAUCAGGAAGGAUAAUCCUAAAGCAAAUACCAACAGCAAGCCGUGCUGGAAAAGGAAAUUUUGAACUGCACUCCUGUUUCUUUGGACCAUCACCACUUGGCUGGUAACCCGUGUGGCAGCGGCACUCGUAAUCUCCUGGAGUGUUCCUACAGACACCGUGGCAAGGAUACUUGUUGGGGUUUACCUUUGCAUCCUUUAUUGGGAUCGUCGUCGUAAGGGUUACCCUCGUAGCCACUGCUGCAGUUGCAGUAGUAUCCGAGGCCGUUGGUGGAGUUGACGCACGUGCUGUUGACGCUCACGCAGGCGUAUCCAGCUGGCAUAUUCUUCUUCGACGUCUCCACCUCCGGCGCCGGGCAGGACGCCACGUCGCGGAUGGCCCAGUCCAGCCACACCGGCAUCCUCUGUUUCCGGUCCAUGUUGAGAUCAGACCUCUGGAAUUGGUACUCUUCCUUGUCGACGAGGAAGGCGUAGUCGCAGGGGCUGAAGUCCACCUGUUCGCCGCGCGGCCAUUGCUGGAAGGUGACGACGUUGUCGGUGAGCUCCGGCGGGAUGUCGACGUGGCAGCAGCCGACGCCGGCGCACUUGCCGUUCUUGGCGCUCAGCGAGUCGCUGCAGUAGGUGACGCAGCCGGCGUAGUAGAGGCUUGUGUAGAGGCCUUUUCCCUCGCUGUCCCCGUGCUUGUUCCAUGCCACGGUGUUGCAUCCCAGGACGACGAACUUGUUGCGCUCGUCGGAGAUGCGGUACACGCCGGUCUUGUUCAGCUCCACGUCGCCGUAGAACUGCUCGGUGACGUUGCCGCUGGAGUUGUAGCACCUGUACGCCACCGGCAGCAUCACCUUCACCUCCGGCCGUGGGAACACCGUCAGAUUCUGCACCUGGAUGGUGUCGUUGGCGGCGGCGAGGGUGGGCACCAAGCCGCCGUUGCUUGUGUUGCAAGCGAUCUCGAAGCCCGCGCUGCGGAAGCAGCCGCCGCCGAUGCCGAACGGGUAUGGAAUGUCGACGUCGCCGCACCUCGCCUGGCAGCCGGCAGGCCGGCCGGCGAUGCCCACGG
This 2006-nucleotide small RNA is filed under the name Oryza sativa Japonica Group (Japanese rice). RNAcentral describes it as "sRNA Os10g0111550". The record is from RNAcentral. Lineage: Eukaryota; Viridiplantae; Streptophyta; Magnoliopsida; Poales; Poaceae.